CAGGCCUAACACAUGCAAGUCGGACGGGAUUAGGGAGCUUGCUCCUUAUGAGAGUGGCGCACGGGUGCGUAACACGUAUGUAACCUACCUUGUUCAGGGGGAUAGCCUCUCGAAAGAGAGAUUAAGACCGCAUAACGUAGUUGAUUGGCAUCAAUUUACUACCAAAUAUUUAUAGGAACAAGAUGGGCAUGCGGAACAUUAGCUAGUUGGUGAGGUAACGGCUCACCAAGGCUACGAUGUUUAGGGGAUCUGAGAGGAUUACCCCCCACACUGGUACUGAGACACGGACCAGACUCCUACGGGAGGCAGCAGUAAGGAAUAUUGGUCAAUGGACGGAAGUCUGAACCAGCCAUGCCGCGUGCAGGAAGACGGCCCUACGGGUUGUAAACUGCUUUUAUACGGGAAUAAACCUACUUACGUGUAAGUAGCUGAAUGUACUGUAAGAAUAAGGAUCGGCUAACUCCGUGCCAGCAGCCGCGGUAAU
RNAcentral lists this ribosomal RNA (484 nucleotides) under uncultured bacterium. Its description in RNAcentral is "bacterial SSU rRNA". It matches the Rfam family "Bacterial small subunit ribosomal RNA", at positions 43 to 524 of the family's 1533-position model. The record is from RNAcentral.